UUUUUUCAUUUUGGUUAAACCGCAAUGUUAAAGGAGAAGAAGGAGGAGAAAUUGUGUUUGGUGGGAUUGAUUCCAAUCAUUACAAGGGUGAGCACACAUAUGUUCCAGUGACUCAAAAAGGUUAUUGGCAGUUCGAUAUGGGUGACGUAUUAGUUGGCAAUGAAUCAACAGGACUUUGUGGUAAUGGCUGUAAGGCAAUU
This 200-nucleotide unclassified non-coding RNA is filed under the name Hevea brasiliensis (rubber tree). The record is from RNAcentral. Lineage: Eukaryota; Viridiplantae; Streptophyta; Magnoliopsida; Malpighiales; Euphorbiaceae.